RNAcentral lists this long non-coding RNA (1029 nucleotides) under Spirodela polyrhiza (greater duckweed). Its description in RNAcentral is "long non-coding RNA (SPOL_LNC000341)". The record is from RNAcentral. Lineage: Eukaryota; Viridiplantae; Streptophyta; Magnoliopsida; Alismatales; Araceae.
CCUCUCCCAACGGAGUUAACCGACCGUUGCGGCCUCCGCGUCUUCGCUUGCUCUUAAUUUUUUUCUUGAUCUCUUCUCUAGGAUUUGUUUCAUGUUGCUUGGUCAAUUCUCCCCCCGCCCCGCCCCGCCCCCGCCGCCCUCCAUUACUAGGAACUGUGGGGGGGGUGGGGGUUUUCAAUUCUGUGUUCAUCUUCUUUCCCGAGAGUUAAUGGAAGAAAUCUGACAGUUACAAAGAGACCCCCGCCCCUUCCCGCUCCUCCCCGGGGGGACGACCGCUAGGGUUAGGGUUUCCGCCCCCACCCCCUUCCCGGGGAUACCGCCGCCGGCCCCGCUCCGCCCUUCGAAAGUAUCGGCCUCCCGUGACCGUCCCUCCACAUGGUGAUAGCCCAAACACAUGGGAGGCGGCGACGUGUCCGCUGUCACGAUGUGCCCGCCUGUGGCCGCUCUGGCCCGGGCGGGCUUGGCGCCGCGCUGGCAGGGGACAAAACCCCGGACUUUAAUCUUCUUCGCUCCUCACCUGAGAUUGAGAUCUCAUAUUUCUUUAACCGCCUCCUCCAUCGCCGCCGCCGCCCCUCGCCGGCAGGGCUGGCAGCCGGAGCAGGAGGAUGGUGGGGCCUUUUGAAUGCUCUCCCCUCUGUCAGUACUCGCCUGCCAUUUGCUGGACGGUUUCGAGGCCUUGUCUCUUCCCGCGCCGCUCACAUGCGCAGCCUGGCCGUAGCGGUCUACCACCACUCCCACUGCCGCGCGCACCGGCCAUGCCACGCGAAAAGCCUGGUCUCCUCCCUCGUGGGGGGAAAAAACAGACGGAAUGCGGCAUCGGGCACAGCUGUCUCGAGGGCCCUUCUGCCUCCUCCCGGGCAGCGGCGCCAACAUUCUCCGAGAUCUGCAAAACAACGCAUGGAGAUGAGUGAAUGGCCGAUAGAAUUCCGAGGGAUGUUAACAAAUGAGGUCGGGAGAUGCGCACCAGCGGACCCCUUCUCCUUCCUCGUACGAGCUGGCGGCACCCCCCCCCUCCUCCCUCUCCCUGCC